UCAGAUACAAGAAAAUGUACAAAGAAGAAUUUAUGCAUGACAAUGAAUGAAGAAGUAACAGUCUCGGAUGGAAUCUGAGAUUGACAAUGCAUGUUCUUCCUCACCUGCAUGUCCAGGGAUGGAUUUUGGACAAUGUCCGGUGUCCAGAGCAGCCGCCAGUAAACUUUUUUGAAGCCAAAGAUGUAAGAUGAGCAGAGAUCAGGGAGGAGGACGUGGUUCGGCCUGAAAUCGCCCACCCAUCGUCUCCGUGGCGCCCUCCCUCUGCUCUGCCCUAGUCCUCCUCCACUUCAACCAUGGCUUCCUCCUCCCACUCGAUUACAUUCUUUGCAUGUGACAAUCCAUAUUCAUCUAGUUAUGCACUCUCUCUAAUCACCAAAAUAGGGCACAUAAUCCUCAGAGCGGCCAUUAAGAAGAGAAUAGCAUGGAGAUUGGUGAUUAUCAUCCAUUUAAUACUUGAUAAUUAAGGAGUGAAUCACAUGAAGAUUUGUACUCCCUCCGUCUCAAUUUAUAAAGUCAUCUUAGAUUGUGCACCAUGACCAAGACGGAUAAAAAACAAGAGAAGUUAAUGUUAAUUUGCUAAUUAAUA
Molecule: long non-coding RNA, 586 nt
Filed under: Hordeum vulgare
Lineage: Eukaryota; Viridiplantae; Streptophyta; Magnoliopsida; Poales; Poaceae
Description: long non-coding RNA (HVUL_LNC002536)
Source: RNAcentral